Molecule: ribosomal RNA, 695 nt
Filed under: uncultured bacterium
Lineage: Bacteria
Description: bacterial SSU rRNA
Rfam family: Bacterial small subunit ribosomal RNA
Source: RNAcentral
AGCGGCGGACGGGUGAGUAACGCGUAGGAAUCUACCUAGUAGAAGGGGAUAGCCCGGGGAAACCCGGAUUAAUACCGUAUACCUCCUUCGGGAGAAAGAAGGCCUCUCUUUGAAGCUUUCGCUACUAGAUGAGCCUGCGUAAGAUUAGCUUGUUGGUGAGGUAAAGGCUCACCAAGGCAACGAUCUUUAGCUGGUCUGAGAGGACGAUCAGCCACAUUGGGACUGAGACACGGCCCAGACUCCUACGGGAGGCAGCAGUGGGGAAUAUUGGACAAUGGGCGCAAGCCUGAUCCAGCCAUACCGCGUGUGUGAAGAAGGCCUUCGGGUUGUAAAGCACUUUAAGCAGGGAGAAAAAGUUGUAAGCUAAUACCUUAUAACCUUGAUGUUACCUGCAGAAUAAGCACCGGCUAAUUCCGUGCCAGCAGCCGCGGUAAUACGGAAGGUGCAAGCGUUAAUCGGAAUUACUGGGCGUAAAGCGCGCGUAGGUGGUUUGUUAAGUUGGAUGUGAAAGCCCUGGGCUCAACCUAGGAACUGCAUCCAAAACUAACUCACUAGAGUACGAUAGAGGGAGGUAGAAUUCAUAGUGUAGCGGUGGAAUGCGUAGAUAUUAUGAAGAAUACCAGUGGCGAAGGCGGCCUCCUGGAUCUGUACUGACACUGAGGUGCGAAAGCGUGGGUAGCGAACAGGAUUAGAUA